UGAGGCACAGAGACAAUGCAGGUGGGC
RNAcentral lists this non-coding RNA (27 nucleotides) under Homo sapiens (human). The record is from RNAcentral. Lineage: Eukaryota; Metazoa; Chordata; Mammalia; Primates; Hominidae.